Non-coding RNA from Glycine soja, 151 nucleotides. The record is from Rfam. NCBI's taxonomy places the organism in Eukaryota, Viridiplantae, Streptophyta, Magnoliopsida, Fabales, Fabaceae.
AUCUUUGCGCUUGGGGCAAUGACGCAGCUAGUGAGGUUCUAACCGAGGCGCGUCUAUUGCUGGUUGAAAACUAUUUCCAAACCCCCUCUUAGGCCUGAGUUUAUCUUAGGCCUUCGAGAAUUUCUGGAAGGGCUCCCUUUGGGGUAAAGCC